AGCUAAUACAUGCUAAAAACCUCGACUUCGGAAGGGGUGUAUUUAUUAGAUAAAAAACCAAUGCCCUUCGGGGCUCCUUGGUGAUUCAUAAUAACUUAACGAAUCGCAUGGCCUUGCGCCGGCGAUGGUUCAUUCAAAUUUCUGCCCUAUCAACUUUCGAUUGUAAGAUAGAGGCUUACAAUGGUCUUAACGGGUAACGGGGAAUUAGGGUUCGACUCCGGAGAGGGAGCCUGAGAAACGGCUACCACAUCCAAGGAAGGCAGCAGGCGCGCAAAUUACCCAAUCCCGAUACGGGGAGGUAGUGACAAUAAAUACUGAUACGGGGCUCUUUCGGGUCUCGUAAUUGGAAUGAGUACAAUCUAAAUCCCUUAACGAGGAACAAUUGGAGGGCAAGUCUGGUGCCAGCAGCCGCGGUAAUUCCAGCUCCAAUAGCGUAUAUUAAAGUUGUUGCCGUUAAAAAGCUCGUAGUUGAACCUUGGACCUGGCCGAUCUGUCCUCCUAAUCGAGCGCACGGAUUCGGUCGGGUCUUUCCUUCUGGGGAGCCCUAUGCCCUUCACUGGGUGUAGUGGGGAACCAGGACUUUUACCUUGAAAAAAUUAGAGUGUUCAAAGCAGGCCUUUGCUCGAAUACAUUAGCAUGGAAUAAUAGAAUAGGACAUCGGUUCUAUUUUGUUGGUUUCUAGGACCGCUGUAAUGAUUAAUAGGGAUAGUCGGGGGCGUCUGUAUUCAAUUGUCAGAGGUGAAAUUCUUGGAUUUAUUGAAGACAAACUACUGCGAAAGCAUUCGCCAAGGAUGUUUUCAUUAAUCAGUGAACGAAAGUUAGGGGAUCGAAGACGAUCAGAUACCGUCGUAGUCUUAACCAUAAACUAUGCCGACUAGGAUCGGANNNNNNNNNNNNNNNNNNNNNNNNNNNNNNNNNNNNNNNNNNNNNNNNNNACUUAAAGAAAUUGACGGAAGGGCACCACCAGGCGUAAACGUAACCGUUUCUUAAAAAAGCUGCAGUUAACUCUGCGCCUAAAAGCAGCCCGAAAGGGUCCGGUGGUGUGUCGUUAAAUGCUAGUCCUUAAGGAUAUUCUUUAAGGGCAACACCCUCAAAUUGCGGGAAACUCCUAAAGCCCAAACUACCAAGUGGUCUGCCGAAAGGUGAUCAUGGCCGGGGUAAUGACCCAGGGUACGGUAAAAACGUUUGGGAUGUCGACAAUGGACGAUCCGCAGCCAAACGCCCUCCACUCUCGACGAGAGCGGGCGUAGGUUCAGAGACUAAAUGGGGGUGGGUUUGGCUCUUCGUACAGGAGGAACGCUCCAAGCUUAAGAUAUAGUCCAAUCCCCGGGGAGACCUGGGGUCCUGACUUACCAUAGUAGGCCCAAUCUCAUGGGAGCCUGCGGCUUAAUUUGACUCAACACGGGGAAACUCACCAGGUUAACGUCUGGGCCUGGAAAAGCAGUGUGGCGGAUUGCCAUUCUGCUAGUACACAGUCAUCAUCCAUGCGAGGGAGUCCCUCAAUUUCGGGCAUGGAACGAUAUCCCUUAAGGGAAUCGUCGACUGGUGCGACACCAGCUGGUACAGGGGACGCCGCCUAUGGCUUUUCGCCACGGCCGAUCCUGUGGUGAGUCAGAGUAACGAUCUGACCAUCGCAACGCGCGCAAAGCGGUGGGUGGGCCACGGAUGUGGUCUACUUAAGGUACGUGCUAAUCCCACGGGAUGGAAAACCGUGGCUCCAACAGGGAGGCCCGAAUGCUUAACUGUUGGGGGCAGCUUUUGCUGUGUGUGGAGAAGACGUUUGAUAUUGGAGUUUCAAUAUCAACGUCUUCUUGGCUUUAAUGCCAGACAUGCUUAGGAUUGACAGAUUGAUAGCUCUUUCUUGAUUGUAUGGGUGGUGGUGCAUGGCCGUUCUUAGUUGGUGGAGUGAUUUGUCUGCUUAAUUGCGAUAACGAACGAGACCUUGACCUGCUAAAUAGCCAGGUUGACUUUUGUCGGCCGCCGGCUUCUUAGAGGGACUUUUGGCUCAAGCCAAUGGAAGUACGAGGCAAUAACAGGUCUGUGAUGCCCUUAGAUGUUCUGGGCCGCACGCGCGCUACACUGACAGAGCCAGCGAGUACAUCACCUUGGCCGAAAGGUCUGGGUAAUCUUGUUAAACUCUGUCGUGCUGGGGAUAGAGCAUUGCAAUUAUUGCUCUUCAACGAGGAAUGCCUAGUAAGCGCAAGUCAUCAGCUUGCGUUGAUUACGUCCCUGCCCUUUGUACACACCGCCCGUCGCUACUACCGAUUGAAUGGCUCAGUGAGGCCUUGGGACUGGCUCAGAGAGGUCGGCAACGACCACUCAGAGCCGGAAACUUGGUCAAACUUGGUCAUUUAGAGGAAGUAAAAGUCGUAACAAGGUUUCUGAUCCUUCUGUUGGUGAACGCCAUUCAGGAAGCCUUUGCCGCCCGAAAGGGUGUGCGUACCGCGACUAUAAACAAUGCAAGUGCGCCUAAGGGCAAGUUGCGAAUAACGUUUCGUGGCAACGCUGUCAAAUUGCGGCGAGUCUCCUAAAGACUGUGUGACCAAGCCAUCUCCGAAAGGGGGUGGUGGCCGAGCUAAUAGCCCUGGGUAUGGUAACACUACACAGUAUGAUCAGCUUUCUGCGCUCUCGGGCGGAGGAGGUUGUGAAAUGGGUAAGCACGCAGCCAAGUCCUACGGCUCGCUUCGGCAGGCUAUGGAUGCAGUUCACAGGCCAAACGGCAGCGGGUGCGAUCCAGAGCUGAUCGCGCUCAAGAUAUGGUCGGUCCUGCUGGGAAACCAGCGGGGAGUUCACUCAUAAUGUUACAACGUUCCGUAGGUGAACCUGCGGAAGGAUCAUUA
This 2840-nucleotide ribosomal RNA is filed under the name Chaetothyriales sp. MCRE15. RNAcentral's name for it is "partial 18S ribosomal RNA". The stretch from base 1 to 2384 matches the Rfam family "Eukaryotic small subunit ribosomal RNA". Lineage: Eukaryota; Fungi; Ascomycota; Eurotiomycetes; Chaetothyriales. The record is from RNAcentral.